AUUGAACGCUGGCGGCAGGCCUAACACAUGCGAGUCGAGCGGAUGAAGGGAGCUUGCUCCUGGAUUCAGCGGCGGACGGGUGAGUAAUGCCUAGGAAUCUGCCUGGUAGUGGGGGAUAACGUCCGGAAACGGGCGCUAAUACCGCAUACGUCCUGAGGGAGAAAGUGGGGGAUCUUCGGACCUCACGCUAUCAGAUGAGCCUAGGUCGGAUUAGCUAGUUGGUGGGGUAAAGGCCUACCAAGGCGACGAUCCGUAACUGGUCUGAGAGGAUGAUCAGUCACACUGGAACUGGAACACGGUCCAGACUCCUAAGGGAGGCAGCAGUGGGGAAUAUUGGACAAUGGGCGAAAGCCUGAUCCAGCCAUGCCGCGUGUGUGAAGAAGGUCUUCGGAUUGUAAAGCACUUUAAGUUGGGAGGAAGGGCAGUAAGUUAAUACCUUGCUGUUUUGACGUUACCAACAGAAUAAGCACCGGCUAACUUCGUG
Molecule: ribosomal RNA, 484 nt
Filed under: uncultured bacterium
Lineage: Bacteria
Description: partial 16S ribosomal RNA
Rfam family: Bacterial small subunit ribosomal RNA
Source: RNAcentral